Molecule: ribosomal RNA, 252 nt
Filed under: uncultured Sulfobacillus sp.
Lineage: Bacteria; Bacillati; Bacillota; Clostridia; Eubacteriales; Clostridiales Family XVII. Incertae Sedis
Description: partial 16S ribosomal RNA
Rfam family: Bacterial small subunit ribosomal RNA
Source: RNAcentral
GACGUAGGGGGCAAGCGUUGUCCGGAAUUACUGGGCGUAAAGGGCGUGUAGGCGGUCGCACACGUAGCGGUUUUCAGCCGCCGGCUCACCCGGCGGAGGGCGGCUAAGCGGUGGGACUUGAGGGCAGGAGAGGUGCACGGAAUUCCUGGUGGAGAGGUGAAAUGCGUAGAGAUCAGGAAGAACACCAGUGGCGAAGGCGGUGCACUGGCCUGGCCCUGACGCUGAGGCGCGACAGCGUGGGGAGCAAACGGG